Molecule: ribosomal RNA, 119 nt
Filed under: Peromyscus maniculatus bairdii (prairie deer mouse)
Lineage: Eukaryota; Metazoa; Chordata; Mammalia; Rodentia; Cricetidae
Source: RNAcentral
GUCUUUGGUCUUACUGCUCUGAUUGCACCUGAUCUGGUGUGAUUUCUGGAGCUAAGCAGGGUUGUGCCUGAUUAGUACUUGGAUGGGAGAUUGCCUGGGAAUACUGAGUGCUAUAGGUA